RNAcentral lists this unclassified non-coding RNA (415 nucleotides) under uncultured fungus. RNAcentral describes it as "partial contains small subunit ribosomal RNA, internal transcribed spacer 1, and 5.8S ribosomal RNA". The stretch from base 1 to 73 matches the Rfam family "Eukaryotic small subunit ribosomal RNA", at positions 1759 to 1831 of the family's 1831-position model. Lineage: Eukaryota; Fungi. The record is from RNAcentral.
UCAAACUUGGUCAUUUAGAGGAAGUAAAAGUCGUAACAAGGUUUCCGUAGGUGAACCUGCGGAAGGAUCAUUAACGAAUAACCUGGUUGGGUUGAUGCUGGUUCCUUAGGGAACAAAAGUGCACGCCCACCAUCUUAAUUCUUUAAUCACCUGUGCACCCUUUGUAGACUUUUAGAAACAAUGAUGCUCGAGGCAAACUCGGGUUUCUUGAGGAUUGCUGUGUUCAAAAGUCAAAGAGCCAGCUGUUCUUGUGUUUCUCUAUAGUCUAUGUCUUUCUUUUUUCAUCAUAACACACACACCCGUAUGUCUUUGAAUGUAUUUGCUGGGCAUUUUGAAACAAAAUUGCCUCUAAAACUUUUUUAAUACAACUUUCAACAACGGAUCUCUUGGCUCUCGCAUCGAUGAAGAACGCAGC